RNAcentral lists this ribosomal RNA (317 nucleotides) under uncultured Paludibacter sp. Its description in RNAcentral is "partial 16S ribosomal RNA". The record is from RNAcentral. Lineage: Bacteria; Pseudomonadati; Bacteroidota; Bacteroidia; Bacteroidales; Paludibacteraceae.
GGAGUUUGGACCGUGUCUCAGUUCCAAUGUGGGGGACCUUCCUCUCAGAACCCCUACUGAUCGUCGGCUUGGUGGGCCGUUACCCCACCAACUACCUAAUCAGAAGCGUGCUCACCCAUAGUCCUUGCGUUUCAAAUCAAAGUCAUGCGGCUUCGAUUCACAUGGAGUAUUAAUUCAGCUUUCGCUGGGCUAUCCCCCGACUAUGGACAGAUUGCACACCUGUUACGCACCCGUGCGCCGGUCGCCGCCAAAGAAAGCAAGCUUUCUUCUCGAUGCCCCUCGACUUGCAUGUGUUAAGCCUGUAGCUAGCGUUCAUC